UGGGGAAUAUUGGGCAAUGGACGCAAGUCUGACCCAGCGACGCCGCGUGCGGGAUGAAGGCCUUCGGGUUGUAAACCGCUUUCAGCAGGGAAGAAGCGAAAGUGACGGUACCUUCAAGAGAAGCACCGGCUAACUAUGUGCCAGCAGCCGCGGUAAUACAUAGGGUGCAAGCGUUGUCCGGAAUUAUUGGGCGUAAAGAGCUCGUAGGUGGUUCGUCACGUCGGAUGUGAAAACUCGGGGCUCAACCCCGAGCCUGUAUUCGAUACGGUCUGACUUGAGUGUGGUAGGGGUAACUGGAAUUCCUGGUGUAGCGGUGAAAUGCGCAGAUAUGCACAAGAACACCGGUGGCGAAGGCGAUCUUCUGGAGCGGUACUGACGCUAAGGCACGAAAGCGUGGGGAGCAAACAGG
This 409-nucleotide ribosomal RNA is filed under the name uncultured bacterium. RNAcentral describes it as "bacterial SSU rRNA". It matches the Rfam family "Bacterial small subunit ribosomal RNA", at positions 355 to 776 of the family's 1533-position model. The record is from RNAcentral.